UGGCGCGUGGUGUAAUGGUAACACAAAGGACUUUGAAUCCUUCGUUCCAGGUUCGAGCCCUGGCGCGCCAGCCA
This 74-nucleotide transfer RNA is filed under the name soil metagenome. It matches the Rfam family "tRNA". From Rfam's summary of the family: Transfer RNA (tRNA) molecules are approximately 80 nucleotides in length. Their secondary structure includes four short double-helical elements and three loops (D, anti-codon, and T loops). RNAcentral also lists the same sequence under 1 other name. The record is from RNAcentral.